GGCUGGGGAUAGCUCAGUUGGUAGAGUGCUUACCUUGAAUGCACAAAGCCCUGGGUUUGAUCCCCAGGGCCA
RNAcentral lists this transfer RNA (72 nucleotides) under Marmota monax (woodchuck). RNAcentral describes it as "tRNA.Ser". Lineage: Eukaryota; Metazoa; Chordata; Mammalia; Rodentia; Sciuridae. The record is from RNAcentral.